RNAcentral lists this unclassified non-coding RNA (533 nucleotides) under Hevea brasiliensis (rubber tree). The record is from RNAcentral. Lineage: Eukaryota; Viridiplantae; Streptophyta; Magnoliopsida; Malpighiales; Euphorbiaceae.
AUAAAACAAAAAAAAAAAAAAGCCUCUCUGGUUACUAUCUCUUUCUUCUACCAGUGUUCUCAACUGUCCCCCUGCCCCAUCCGAACAGGGGGCGGCUCUCCUCUAUGCUCAAUGGUGGAUUUUCUUCUUCAGUGCUCUCAGGUGGCGGUGUAAAUAUCUGGUUUUGCUUGUUUCGGGUUGCAGGUCGUGCUUUUCUUGGAGCGGAAGAUCAAGGAAACCUUUAGCUGUGGUUCCUACUAGAUGCAGGUGCCGAUGUGGGUUUCGAUGGUAGUAAUUUAUUUGGUCUACUCUAGGGGUUAUGAUGUUUGGGUAUGGUAUCACUGUGGACUUUUCUAUUGCUUGUCCUAAGCAACUCAUCCCUUAAAGUCUAAAGGACAUUGAGACGUCAAGAGCCCUGCUAUAUUGCCCCUCGGAGAUGCGAAGUUUGGUCCUUGAGUUGUCUGUGACAAAGCAACUGAGAUGCUUGACUUGGCUAGGGUGUCUAUUUUGUGGCCUCUUUGAGCUUCAAUAGGCUUGAAGUCUGAUGUAGAGAG